AGUUCAUUGACCAUUCCACGUCACUGCAUCGUGAGGGAUUUGUGGAUGACCAAUUUACAACUCUAAAAGCUGCAAGAUGAAAACAACCCAGAUUUUGAGGUCGAGCUUGUCUCUCUUUUCUUUGAAGAUUCUGAGAAGCUUCUUAACAAUAUGGCCAGAGCACUGUGAGUUCAUCUUCUUCCUUCCUGUGCUAAGUGUUUUCUUUUUUGUGAUCUAAUUUUCAUGUUUUUUCCUUCUGUGAGCAAACACAAGGUGUUGAUUUCAAGCAAGUAGAUGCUAGUGUUCUUGUAGAUGCUAGUGUUCAUCAGCUUAAGGGUAGCAGUUCUAGCAUAGGUGCAAUGAGAGUUAAAGAAUGCAUGCAUCGCCUUCCGAAGCUUUCGCGAGGCGCAAAACCAUAAAGGG
This is a long non-coding RNA of Hibiscus syriacus, 402 nucleotides long. RefSeq lists it as uncharacterized. Lineage: Eukaryota; Viridiplantae; Streptophyta; Magnoliopsida; Malvales; Malvaceae. The record is from RefSeq and is a predicted model, not a curated record. The transcript is spliced from 3 exons.